UACGUAGGGUGCAAGCGUUGUCCGGAAUUAUUGGGCGUAAAGAGCUCGUAGGCGGUUUGUCGCGUCUGGUGUGAAAAUCCAGGGCUUAACCCUGGACCUGCAUCGGGUACGGGCAGACUAGAGUGCGGUAGGGGAGAUCGGAAUUCCUGGUGUAGCGGUGAAAUGCGUAGAGAUCGGGAGGAACACCAGAGGCGAAGGCGGCGACCUGGACAAGCACUGACACUCAACUACGAAAGCGUGGGGAGCAAACAGG
This 253-nucleotide ribosomal RNA is filed under the name uncultured bacterium. RNAcentral describes it as "partial 16S ribosomal RNA". It matches the Rfam family "Bacterial small subunit ribosomal RNA", at positions 524 to 776 of the family's 1533-position model. The record is from RNAcentral.